CGGAGCGUAGCGCAGUUGGUAGCGCGCAUCGUUCGGGACGAUGAGGCCGUGGGUUCAAGUCCCACCGCUCCGA
Molecule: transfer RNA, 73 nt
Filed under: Candidatus Gottesmanbacteria bacterium
Lineage: Bacteria; Candidatus Gottesmaniibacteriota
Description: tRNA-Pro
Rfam family: tRNA
About the family: Transfer RNA (tRNA) molecules are approximately 80 nucleotides in length. Their secondary structure includes four short double-helical elements and three loops (D, anti-codon, and T loops).
Source: RNAcentral